Molecule: ribosomal RNA, 486 nt
Filed under: uncultured bacterium
Lineage: Bacteria
Description: bacterial SSU rRNA
Rfam family: Bacterial small subunit ribosomal RNA
Source: RNAcentral
CGCGCUUAAGCAUGCAGGUCGAACGGCAAGAGGUAGCAAUACCUCCUAGAGUGGCGGACUGGUGAGUAACACGUGGGUGACAUACCCUUCAGAUGGGGAUAGCUAUAGAAAUAGUAGAUAAUACCGAAUACGAGCACAGGGGUUAGAGAUCUGUGAGGAAAGGAGCUAAGGCUCCGCUGAAGGAAUGGCCUGCGGCCCAUUAGCUAGUUGGUGAGGUAAGAGCCCACCAAGGCGAUGAUGGGUAUCCGGCCUUAGAGGGUGAACGGACACAUUGGGACUGAGAUACGGCCCAGACUCCUACGGGAGGCAGCAGCUAAGAAUAUUCCGCAAUGGACGAAAGUCUGACGGAGCGACGCCGCGUGGAUGAAAAGAAGGCCGGAAGGUUGUAAAAUCCUUUUGAAACUGAAGAAUAAGCGUUGUAGGGAAUGACAGCGUGGUGACAGUAGGUUUUGAAUAAGCAACGGCUAAUUACGUGCCAGCAGCAGC